Molecule: long non-coding RNA, 382 nt
Filed under: Panax ginseng (ginseng)
Lineage: Eukaryota; Viridiplantae; Streptophyta; Magnoliopsida; Apiales; Araliaceae
Description: long non-coding RNA (PGIN_LNC015174)
Source: RNAcentral
ACAAAUUGGGUCUGGAUUCAGAAUUAGGGCUGCGAUUUCUCCUGCGAUCUCACGAAAUUGAGAAUUGGGGUUGGAUUGGGAAUUGGGGCUUCAUGCCGUCAAAGUGAAAGGAAUUGGGAAUUGGGCUGCUACAAUUUAAGGAAUUGAGAAUUGUGAUUGUGAUUUCUUCCUGCCGUGAAACUUUUUCCACGUUAAACUUAAUCAGGUGUCAAAAGUUUUGAAGAGUUCAGUUUAUGUUGCAAAACGUUGGUGUAUAUAUGUUUGCCCCUUUUUUGACGGGAGGGCUUGGGCCAAUUUUGCCAUGUUUGCAGAGAAUCCUGAGUUCAAAUUUGAUUCUCUUUUUUCCCUUUAUAUUUCUUGACAUGGCAUUAGUUUUCUUGGA